UACGGGGGGGGCAAGCGUUGUUCGGAAUUACUGGGCGUAAAGGGCGCGUAGGCGGCUUAUCAAGUCAGGCGUGAAAUUCCCGGGCUCAACCUGGGGGCUGCGCUUGAUACUGAUUGGCUUGAAUGCGGGAGGGGAUAGUGGAAUUCCCAGUGUAGAGGUGAAAUUCGUAGAUAUUGGGAAGAACACCGGUGGCGAAGGCGGCUAUCUGGCCCGUAAUUGACGCUGAGGCGCGAAAGCGUGGGGAGCAAACAGG
Molecule: ribosomal RNA, 253 nt
Filed under: uncultured bacterium
Lineage: Bacteria
Description: partial 16S ribosomal RNA
Rfam family: Bacterial small subunit ribosomal RNA
Source: RNAcentral